This 497-nucleotide ribosomal RNA is filed under the name uncultured bacterium. RNAcentral describes it as "partial 16S ribosomal RNA". It matches the Rfam family "Bacterial small subunit ribosomal RNA", at positions 28 to 507 of the family's 1533-position model. The record is from RNAcentral.
GAUGAACGCUGGCGGCGUGCCUAAUACAUGCAAGUCGAGCGAACGGACGAGAAGCUUGCUUCUCUGAUGUUAGCGGCGGACGGGUGAGUAACACGUGGAUAACCUACCUAUAAGACUGGGAUAACUUCGGGAAACCGGAGCUAAUACCGGAUGAUAUUUUGAACCGCAUGGUUCAAAAGUGAAAGACGGUCUUGCUGUCACUUAUAGCUGGAUCCGCGCUGCAUUAGCUAGUUGGUAAGGUAACGGCUUACCAAGGCAACGAUGCAUAGCCGACCUGAGAGGGUGAUCGGCCACACUGGAACUGGGACACGGUCCAGACUCCUACGAGAGGCAGCAGUAGGGAAUCGUCCGCAAUGGGCGAAAGCCUGACGGAGCAACGCCGCGUGAGUGAUGAAGGUCUUCGGAUCGUAAAACUCUGUUAUUAGGGAAGAACAUAUGUGUAAGUAACUGUGCACAUCUUGACGGUACCUAAUCAGAAAGCCACGGCUAACUACGUG